GCGCCGGUAGUGCAAUGGUUAGCACGCUCCUCCGGGAAUAGUGAAUCGCGGGUUUGAAUUCCGUCCGGCCUU
Non-coding RNA from Parelaphostrongylus tenuis, 72 nucleotides. The record is from the annotation of a GenBank genome assembly. NCBI's taxonomy places the organism in Eukaryota, Metazoa, Nematoda, Chromadorea, Rhabditida, Metastrongylidae.